AGCGAACGUUUGCGGCGGGCUUAACACAUGCAAGUCGAACGGGCUGUUCCUUCGGGGGCAGUCAGUGGCGCACGGGUGCGUAACACGUAGGUAAUCAACCCUCUGGUUGGGGAUAACACUUCGAAAGGAGUGCUAAUACCCGGUAUGGCGCAGCGGUCUUCGGAUCGCGGCGAGAAAGACCCGCAAGGGUUGCCAGAGGACGAGCCUGCGGCCCAUCAGCUAGUUGGCGAGGUAACGGCUCACCAAGGCGAAGACGGGUAGCUGGUCUGAGAGGAUGAUCAGCCACACUGGAACUGAGACACGGUCCAGACUCCUACGGGAGGCAGCAGUGGGGAAUAUUGCGCAAUGGGCGAAAGCCUGACGCAGCCACGCCGCGUGAGCGAUGAAGGCCUUAGGGUUGUAAAGCUCUUUCAGGGGGGAAGAUAAUGACUGUACCCCCAGAAGAAGCCCCGGCUAACUCCGUG
RNAcentral lists this ribosomal RNA (464 nucleotides) under uncultured bacterium. RNAcentral's name for it is "bacterial SSU rRNA". It matches the Rfam family "Bacterial small subunit ribosomal RNA", at positions 29 to 507 of the family's 1533-position model. The record is from RNAcentral.